RNAcentral lists this transfer RNA (68 nucleotides) under human gut metagenome. It matches the Rfam family "tRNA". Rfam says of the family: Transfer RNA (tRNA) molecules are approximately 80 nucleotides in length. The record is from RNAcentral. RNAcentral also lists the same sequence under 2 other names.
CUUGUAGCUCAGUGGAUAGAGCAGUGGCUUCCGAAGCCAUGUGUCGGGGGUUCGAGUCCCUUCAGGUG